RNAcentral lists this ribosomal RNA (233 nucleotides) under uncultured Lactobacillus sp. RNAcentral describes it as "partial 16S ribosomal RNA". It matches the Rfam family "Bacterial small subunit ribosomal RNA", at positions 129 to 355 of the family's 1533-position model. Lineage: Bacteria; Bacillati; Bacillota; Bacilli; Lactobacillales; Lactobacillaceae. The record is from RNAcentral.
CCCAAGAGAUCGGGAUAACACCUGGAAACAGAUGCUAAUACCGGAUAAUAACAGAUGAUGCCUAUCAACUGUUUAAAAGAAUGGUUCUGCUAUCACUCUUGGAUGGACCUGCGGUGCAUUAGCUAGUUGGUAGGGUAACGGCCUACCAAGGCGAUGAUGCAUAGCCGAGUUGAGAGACUGAUCGGCCACAUUGGGACUGAGACACGGCCCAAACUCCUCGGGAGGCAGCAGCC